This 391-nucleotide unclassified non-coding RNA is filed under the name soil metagenome. RNAcentral describes it as "partial contains 5.8S ribosomal RNA, internal transcribed spacer 2, and large subunit ribosomal RNA". The stretch from base 1 to 122 matches the Rfam family "5.8S ribosomal RNA", at positions 35 to 154 of the family's 154-position model. The record is from RNAcentral.
GAUGAAGAACGUAGCGAAAUGCGAUACUUGGUGUGAAUUGCAGAAUCCCGUGAACCAUCGAGUCUUUGAACGCAAGUUGCGCCCGAAGCCACUAGGCCGAGGGCACGCCUGCCUGGGCGUCACACGCCGUUGCCCCCCCAUCUACUCCUUCGGGAAUGCGGGGGGGCGGAUGAUGGCCUCCCGUGCGCCUAGCCGCGCGGUUGGCAUAAAUACCAAGUCCUCGGCGACGCACGCCACGACAAUCGGUGGUUGCGAAACCUCGGUUGCCCGUCGUGUGCGUUCGUCGCGCAUCGAGGGCUCGAAAAAAUGCUCGGCUCCGGCUGGGCUUUCAACGCGACCCCAGGUCAGGCGGGGUUACCCGCUGAAUUUAAGCAUAUCAAUAAGCGGAGGA